UCUCAUCAAGAGUAGUGGAGGGUACGGCCCUUUGAAACUACAGCAACCCUUCUUUGUGAAAAGGUGCUAAUUCCGACGGCGUAGCCGGUAGAUGAG
Molecule: non-coding RNA, 96 nt
Filed under: pig gut metagenome
Description: SAM riboswitch (S box leader)
Rfam family: SAM riboswitch aptamer (S box leader)
About the family: The SAM riboswitch is found upstream of a number of genes which code for proteins involved in methionine or cysteine biosynthesis in Gram-positive bacteria. The SAM riboswitch acts at the level of transcription termination control. The predicted structure consists of a complex stem-loop region followed by a single stem loop terminator region.
Source: RNAcentral